CUGGACUCUAGUCCGCUUUUUAUGUUGGACACGGUCUGAACCCGGUUCGAGUCCCGUUUAUGGCACCCAGAGUGAUGGCGGAGCAGUUGACUGGGCCCCAGUCGGAGACGGGAACCUAUCUGGGGCGGGACCCAGUCUGACCCGAGACACAGUUUGCCGUGGGAACAGGUUUGCAGGGGUGGGGCGGGGUGGGGGGUGCCGUGUGGGGUAGGUCCCCGUCUGACGUCCACUCAGUGCCAUGUGGGAACCUGCCCGAUGUGGGAACCCGUUUGAAGGGGGACCCCGUGUGACGGAGGACCCAGUCUGGCGUGGGACUCCCGUCUGGCCUGGGAACCGGUUUGCGGUGGGACCCGGUUGACGUCGACGCGGUCCGCCGUGGGAUCCGGUCUGACGCAGGCCGUACGUACGAGACCGGGCCCCGUGCGGUGCCGGCGCUUUCCAGACCCGGUCCGGCCCGAGGGAGAGACGCGCUCACGCUCACGUGAAAAGCUCGUGAACGCAAGCACCGCGCCGCCGGGAUCCUGAGCGGGACUCAGCACCUCGGGAGGCGGCGACAGAGCCUUGAGCCUCGGGGUCCACAGUCGGGCAGCUGAGAGAGUCAUUACUGUGAUCUGUGGGACAUUCUCUACAUGAGCUGGUAUUUCUCUUCCUUCUCCUCAGUCUCUAAGGUGGAGAAACGGAUUUUUCUGAGGAUGUUGGAAAGGGUUGCAGAAGAAAAGUUUAAGGAUGAGUUGAUUUCCCAGCUACUGUAUUUCCUGACCUCAGAGGACAGAACUCCCGAAACUAGCAUAACAAUGGUCCCUGUGAAAUCGGAGUUAUUUAAAAACAAGGUGAUAAUUUUUCCUAAUCUGAAUUAA
This 857-nucleotide long non-coding RNA is filed under the name Mustela putorius furo (domestic ferret). RNAcentral describes it as "lncRNA (ENSMPUG00000028944.1)". The record is from RNAcentral. Lineage: Eukaryota; Metazoa; Chordata; Mammalia; Carnivora; Mustelidae.